GAAAAUCCGUUGGCUUUAUAGACCAUGAGGGUUCAAGUCCCUCUACCCCCA
RNAcentral lists this transfer RNA (51 nucleotides) under Frullania inflata. RNAcentral describes it as "partial tRNA-Leu". Lineage: Eukaryota; Viridiplantae; Streptophyta; Jungermanniopsida; Porellales; Frullaniaceae. The record is from RNAcentral. RNAcentral also lists the same sequence under 3 other names.